CAUUGUGUAUAUUAACCACAGUUUCUUUAUCCAUUCGUCUAUUGAAGGGCAUCUAAGUUGGUUCCACAGUUUAGGUAUUGUGGAUUCAGCUGCUAUAAACAUUGGUGUGGCUGUGUCACUAUAGUAUGCUGAUUUUAAGUCCUUUGGGAGGAGUGGGAUAGCUGGGUCAGAUGGUGGUUCCAUUCCAAGUUUUCUGAGGAAUCUCCACACUGCUUUCCAAAGUGGUUGCACCAAUUUGCAGUCCCACCAGCAAUGUAUGAGUGUACCUUUUCCCCACAUCCUCUCCAACGCUGAUUAUUGCUUCCAUUCUUGAUAAUUGCCAUUCUGGC
This 329-nucleotide long non-coding RNA is filed under the name Marmota monax (woodchuck). Lineage: Eukaryota; Metazoa; Chordata; Mammalia; Rodentia; Sciuridae. The record is from RNAcentral.